This 253-nucleotide ribosomal RNA is filed under the name uncultured bacterium. RNAcentral describes it as "partial 16S ribosomal RNA". It matches the Rfam family "Bacterial small subunit ribosomal RNA", at positions 524 to 776 of the family's 1533-position model. The record is from RNAcentral.
UACGGAGGGUGCAAGCGUUAUCCGGAUUCACUGGGUUUAAAGGGUGCGUAGGCGGGCAGGUAAGUCAGUGGUGAAAUCUCCGGGCUUAACCCGGAAACUGCCGUUGAUACUAUCUGUCUUGAAUAUCGUGGAGGUAAGCGGAAUAUGUCAUGUAGCGGUGAAAUGCCUAGAUAUGACAUAGAACACCCAUUGCGAAGGCAGCUUACUACACGAUCAUUGACGCUGAGGCACGAAAGCGUGGGGAGCAAACAGG